UACGGAGGGGGCUAGCGGUGGUCGGAAUUACUGGGCGUAAAGCGCACGUAGGCGGAUUGUUAAGUCGGGGGUGAAAUCCCGGGGCUCAACCCCGGAACUGCCUAAGAUACUGGCGAUCUUGAGGUCUGGAGAGGUGAGUGGAAUGGCGAGUGUAGAGGUGAAAUUCGUAGAUAUUCGCCGGAACACCAGUGGAGAAGGCGGCUCACUGGCCCGAUACUGACGCUGAGGUGCGAAAGCGUGGGGAGCAAACAGG
Molecule: ribosomal RNA, 253 nt
Filed under: uncultured bacterium
Lineage: Bacteria
Description: partial 16S ribosomal RNA
Rfam family: Bacterial small subunit ribosomal RNA
Source: RNAcentral